This 57-nucleotide transfer RNA is filed under the name Clostridioides difficile. RNAcentral's name for it is "tRNA-Val". It matches the Rfam family "tRNA", at positions 8 to 62 of the family's 71-position model. Rfam says of the family: Transfer RNA (tRNA) molecules are approximately 80 nucleotides in length. Their secondary structure includes four short double-helical elements and three loops (D, anti-codon, and T loops). The record is from RNAcentral. Lineage: Bacteria; Bacillati; Bacillota; Clostridia; Peptostreptococcales; Peptostreptococcaceae.
UAGCUCAGCUGGGAGAGCACCUGCCUUACAAGCAGGGGGUCACAGGUUCGAGCCCUG